This 234-nucleotide ribosomal RNA is filed under the name uncultured bacterium. Its description in RNAcentral is "partial 16S ribosomal RNA". It matches the Rfam family "Bacterial small subunit ribosomal RNA", at positions 1012 to 1247 of the family's 1533-position model. The record is from RNAcentral.
GUAAGCCGCAAGGCGUCUGUGAAGGUGGUGCAUGGUUGUCGUCAGCUCGUGUCGUGAGAUGUUGGGUUAAGUCCCGCAACGAGCGCAACCCUUAAGUUUAGUUGCCAUCAUUAAGUUGGACACUCUAGACUGACUGCCGGUGACAAACCGGAGGAAGGUGGGGACGACGUCAAAUCAUCAUGCCCCUUAUGAUUUGGGCUACACACGUGCUACAAUGGACAGGUUACAAAGGGC